This 1094-nucleotide long non-coding RNA is filed under the name Homo sapiens (human). RNAcentral's name for it is "HSALNT0302017". Lineage: Eukaryota; Metazoa; Chordata; Mammalia; Primates; Hominidae. The record is from RNAcentral.
UGCAGUGGCUCGAUACUGGCUCACUGUAGUCUUGACCUCCUGGGCUCAAGUGAUCCACCUCACCCUCCUAAGUAGUGGGACAAUAGGCGCUGUUGCAGUAAGCUUUUGGGAGAGACGAGGUCUUGCUGCUGUGUUGCCCAGGCUGGUCUUGAACUCCUGGCCUCAAGCAAUCCUCCUGCUGUAGCCUCCCAAAGUGUUGGGAUUACAGAUGUGAGCCACUUGCCUGGCCCAGAGUACUUAUUGAUAAUGCUAAAUGUAUUGGUCUAUUGGGCUGACUUCCUCAGGAAUAGUCUCUAGUGACUCCUGAGCCAAACCUCUUCUGAUUGCAAGCUCCAGAAAUUCAUUAAAUCCAGCUGAUACACAAAGGGAGAUUUUUCAGAACCUGAGCGAAGCUGGGCCUCACAAGGACUGCCUUCGAGUCCAAGGUACCUGUCCUUUCUGUCACUCUCUUGAUUAUGCAGCUGUUUAAUUCUGUCUCUGCAGACCAGCUUUCUCUGUUUCUCAUUGGAUUUGGAAGGAAAUUGUUGUCCAGCUGCUGGCAACAUGCCCUUAAUUCCAGGAGAGAGAGAAUGUUAUUGUCCCAUUUGGGUGAGGUGUCCUCCACUGGGCCAGUCAGCUGUUUGGUGCCAGGCUGUGGGGGCAGAUGCAGGGAAGGAGUGCAGGCUGCCCUAUUCUUGGAUGUUAAUUGACGGUGCAGAAUCUUUCGCUUUAUUCUCAGAGUUAGGAUUAUGCCUUCUAAGCACGUUACUCUGAACCCUUGCCAGGUUGGUUUGUUUACUCAGAGGAAGACCCUCCUCCCUCUCACCGGCUCGUCUCUUCUCAGUGCUGUCUGGAUGAGAUGCUGUUAAUACAGGGUCCUUCCCUCUACUCACCUCCUCCAGGCCAUGCAGUUAGGCCACGGUGCUGAUGCAUAUAACCUACAGCAAGCGAGCAUGGCAGCUGGCUGCACGGACUCCGGAGGCGGGAGUACCUGGCUUCAACUCGUAACUCAGCCAGUCGGCUUCUGUGUACCUCAAGUUUCUUCAUCUGUGAAAUGGAGAUAAUCGAAUUUAGUAUUUUGAAAAGAUUGAGUUAAUACAUGUUAAACACAUGAA